This 300-nucleotide long non-coding RNA is filed under the name Elaeis guineensis (African oil palm). RNAcentral's name for it is "long non-coding RNA (EGUI_LNC026473)". The record is from RNAcentral. Lineage: Eukaryota; Viridiplantae; Streptophyta; Magnoliopsida; Arecales; Arecaceae.
GCCUGGCUUGGUUUUAGCUAACACCAUAUUUGUUCUGUAUGAUGAAUGAAAGAGAUAAGAAUGGAAAUCAAAAUAUAAUAGUAAGAGAAUAUAGGGAAUCAAAAUCAUUAUCACCUUCCUUAUUUCAUGGUUUGAAGUACUCAAAACAAAUAAAUGCACAUGAUGGGAGUGCCAAUACAAUUUUACUACUUAAUUCACAUUAUAGUUUAGAAAGUAGUCAAAUUUAUAUUAACUUUUGAGUAUACUUUUGAGGAAAACCAAAUUAUAAAAUAACAACCACUAUUUUUUUGUGUUGUGAAG